Molecule: ribosomal RNA, 253 nt
Filed under: uncultured bacterium
Lineage: Bacteria
Description: partial 16S ribosomal RNA
Rfam family: Bacterial small subunit ribosomal RNA
Source: RNAcentral
UACAGAGGGUGCAAGCGUUGUUCGGAAUUAUUGGGCGUAAAGCGCGUGUAGGCGGCUAGGUAAGUCGGGUGUGAAGUCCCUCAGCUCAACUGAGGACGUGCGCCCGAAACUGCUUGGCUUGAGUGCCGGAGAGGAUGGCGGAAUACCCCAAGUAGAGGUGAAAUUCGUAGAUAUGGGGUGGAACACCGGUGGCGAAGGCGGCCAUCUGGACGGUAACUGACGCUGAGACGCGAAAGCGUGGGUAGCGAACAGG